UGCACAAUUUUCUCACUCAUGCUGGGAUCAGAAGAGAGAGAGUACAGCCCAACGGCCGAUGUUCAGUUGGAACGGGCUGUGCUCUCUCUCUUCUUGUUCCAACCUGGGUGCAUUUCCGUUCU
RNAcentral lists this microRNA precursor (122 nucleotides) under Physcomitrium patens. RNAcentral describes it as "Physcomitrella patens miR529f stem-loop (ppt-MIR529f)". Its record names the gene ppt-MIR529f. Lineage: Eukaryota; Viridiplantae; Streptophyta; Bryopsida; Funariales; Funariaceae. The record is from miRBase by way of RNAcentral.